RNAcentral lists this ribosomal RNA (746 nucleotides) under uncultured delta proteobacterium. RNAcentral describes it as "bacterial SSU rRNA". It matches the Rfam family "Bacterial small subunit ribosomal RNA", at positions 8 to 727 of the family's 1533-position model. The record is from RNAcentral. Lineage: Bacteria; Deltaproteobacteria.
AGAGUUUGAUCCUGGCUCAGAAUGAACGCUGGCGGCGUGCUUAACACAUGCAAGUCGAACGAGAAAGGGAUUGCUUGCAAUCCUGAGUAGAGUGGCGCACGGGUGAGUAACACGUAGAUAAUCUACCUUCAAGCCCGGGAUAACCAUUCGAAAGGAUGGCUAAUACCGGAUGCAGUGCAUAUGCACAAGUAUAUGUAUGAAAGACUGCCUCUUCUUGAAAGCAGUUGUUUGAAAGAUGAGUUUGCGUACCAUUAGCUUGUUGGUGAGGUAACGGCCCACCAAGGCUGUGAUGGUUAGCUGGUCUGAGAGGAUGAUCAGUCACACUGGAACUGGAACACGGUCCAGACUCCUACGGGAGGCAGCAGUGAGGAAUUUUGCGCAAUGGGGGAAACCCUGACGCAGCAACGCCGCGUGAGUGAUGAAGGCCUUCGGGUCGUAAAGCUCUGUCAAGUGGGAAGAACCCAUCCCGUAACAACACGGCGGGAUGCUGACGGUACCACUGAAGGAAGCACCGGCUAACUCCGUGCCAGCAGCCGCGGUAAUACGGAGGGUGCAAGCGUUAUUCGGAAUUACUGGGCGUAAAGGGCGCGUAGGCGGCCUCUUAAGUCGGAUGUGAAAGCCCGGGGCCUAACCCCGGAAGUGCAUUCGAUACUGGGAGGCUUGAGUAUGGGAGAGGGAAGUGGAAUUCCUGGUGUAGAGGUGAAAUUCGUAGAUAUCAGGGGGAACACCUGUGGCGAAGGCGACUU